Zea mays is the source of this 4312-nucleotide RNA transcript. It is a transcript of the gene named probable flavin-containing monooxygenase 1, with no coding region annotated. Lineage: Eukaryota; Viridiplantae; Streptophyta; Magnoliopsida; Poales; Poaceae. The transcript has 3 exons. The record is from RefSeq and is a predicted model, not a curated record.
ACAAGGAAGAUAUUCAGACUGUAAACAGAACUAUACCUUCUUCUUCGUCUCUAACCUCUGCUUCCUCUGUUCCUAUGAAUCUCUUGCUAUCUUCCUGAAUCCCCAGUUCCUGCUUCCUACCUCCAAUUCCUGUCUCGGAUCUAUCUCCACUACCUGCUGCUAACAAUUGGUAUCAGAUUCGUUCGAUCCUCGACUUCAAUUUGCCCACGCCAUGUCGCUCGAUUUCAAGCUCAUCCUCGACGAGCUCAACCGGCGAUUCGACGAGCUGGAGGUUCGCUGGGACCGGCGCUUCUCGCCUUCUGCGUACCUCGACCUUCCGCCCACACUGCUCAGCGUCCACCAAUCCUCCGACACAUCCGCCAGCAUGCCGCCCACCCCGACUGCGGCCGUUGGGACCGUCGUCAUCGCCGACAACUGGGGCGGGUGCUUCGAUGACGACAAGGAGUACUACGCAGCGCCAUCUGUCGUUGCCGACAACUGGGGCGGGCUCUUCGAGGGCUGUGAUGCUGACGGCGAUAUCUCUUCGAACCUGCGCGACUCCGACCCCGACGAGGCGUUCGUCACCUCCCACUCGGACAAGGCGUUGUUCGACAACCACCACGCCGGUGAGCUCAUCGCCACCGGCAUCGAAUAUGGCUCAUACAACUCCGUCCAUGGUAGCGGCGGCGCUGCGCUGUCUCAACUCGCGCACAGCAACACCAACUUCGCCAUGCCCACCACCUGUUCGACUUGGGGGCUCACCGAGCAUGCUAUGGCCGAGGCCGUGCACUGUCGCGCGCUAUGGCUGCCCCGACGCGAGCCACUUCCGCGCCUACUUCGUGCGUUCCUAACGCUCGAGCGGCUCGACCUCUCCGCAUGCGCCUCGCUCGACGACGCCUCCCUCGCUGCGUCCGUCGGCGAUGGACCAGCAGCCGCGACAACCUUGUGGUGGUGCGCUUCGGCCACGGGCGACAUGGAGAGCACGCUCAAGGGGAUUCGCGGCAGCGACGCGCCGUUCGUGAUGGACCUAAACGACGCAGCCACCGUGGCGGGCGGCAUCGAGGACACUUACGGCGAGGACCGCGCCAUCGAGGAGCAGCUCGCCACGCCCUUGGACACGCUCCUGUGCGCCCGCCUCGACCCUGUCAAGUCGCACAUCGGGUGCCUGCUGCUGCAGUACCUCAAGCUUUCGCCUACCUUGAUUGGUGCCAAGGUCGCCUUUGGCAGGUUCGACGGACACUUCUUCCACGACUUCACCAUCAUCAAGCUGAAGACGGACAGCAGCAGCUCGCCCCUCGAGUGUUCGACCAAAUGUCUCAGCCACGAUAUUGGACAUGAUUCACGAAAUUAUGCACACAAAUUACAGAAUGCAGUCACUCAUGGAAUCACUGCUGCUGGACAUGAUAUCCUACAGGUGGGAUUGGCUUCAACACCUGCAAUGUUCAACAUUAUACUUAUAGAAGAUGAGAGAAGUCAUUUACCUAUUGACGCCAUUUGCUCUCCUGAUGAAUUGAUAAAGACAUCACGUCUUUGUGCUUUAGAAAUGGUUCAUUGCCGUAAACCUUGGAUGAGAUCUCUUGGCAACACAGAUAGGCUUGGACUAUUCUCUGAAGCUCGUGCUGUGUUAAAUGCAGCAAGACAGCAAGCAAUGAAGAUUGCACUAAACAUGCCACAGCACCAGACCUGCAUAGAUGUGAUGGGAGAAGGCAUAUUAUAUGGAGGUCGACCUGGUGUUUUGAAGGAAGCCAUUGUUUGCUCGAUUCCGGGUGUCAUGGUGUUUACUUGGACUGUUAGGAAUUUUUCUGGAGUUACUCAUUUAUACAGUCAGCAUGACAGAGGUGUGGUGUGGCUAAUCGUUGCUCCUGAUUGCUACUUCAUUCAACACAAUGAGAGGAUGCACAUGAUAUUCUAUGGCUUCGAUCUACUGAGUUUGCAACACUUCCAUGGACAUUUCAUUCAAGCUGAUAUGUUUGCUCCUUGGGAUGGUCAGGAAAUAACCCAGUUUCUAUUUUCUGAACUACCAAUAUAUUGGCAGCAGUCACAUGGUGAAUUUUUCUCAGCUAGCAUAAUUAGACAAUUUCAGUUCAUAUCACAGCUGAUUUUAUUGGCAAUUACAGGCAUGAACAGUCUAUUAUUUUUCAGAAAGCUCAAGUAUUCAUCAUCAGUUGAGAUAUUUUGUGGUGCACAGUUUUCAUUUCCUAAUAUUCUAUUGCCCAAGUCUUGGUCACAGGAGUUAGCCACCAACAUAGAAAGACAUUUACUAUCAGAAAUGCUAGAAGUGGCUAAUGGCUAUAAUUUUCAUGAACUUCAUCUGAUGCUUGCCUCUAUUGGAGUGACACAAAUGAUCAGUUGUGGUAAAUAUUUGAUAUGGAUCAUUGGCUUGCUAACUCCAUGGGAUCCGGGCAGAAUGGUCUUCGACCUCAAGUUCGUGAUGCUUUUGGCUUGAGGGCAAGCCAAAUCUUAAGAAGGGGGGAAUGUCAGGCAUCCAGUGACAGAUACAGGCUACGUCUGAGGACAUAAAUACAAUUGGGCCGGGGCAGAGUGAGCGAGCCGGACGGCAAUUGUGAAGCUGAGCGGCCCAGAGUGGUCAGCAAUGUAAUUUUGUGUCUUGAGCCAGUUGAACGAGUAUUUAGAGGAGAUCGUCCAUAGGACAAGGGAGAUAUUCAGACUGUAAACAGAACUAUACCUUCUUCUUCGUCUCUAACCUCUGCUUCCUCUGUUCCUAUGAAUCUCUUGCUAUCUUCCUGAAUCCCUAGUUCCUGCUUCCUACCUCCAAUUCCUGUCUCGGAUCUAUCUCCACUACCUGCUGCUAACAGAGUGGCUUCUGUCUGUGGCCGACGCCGACGGCGGCGGCCACGUUGAGGUGAGCAGAGCUGCCUAGGCUAUAUCUAGCAUGCAUUUGGAUGGAGCGAGAUCAGUGGUGUGCCCAACGUACCCACGACGUUCUUGAUUUCUGCAGACACACGCAGCAGACUUUGUGGUUCUUUGCGUGGGGAGGUUCAGUGGUGUGCCCAACGUACCCACGACGUUCCCAGAGGGCGAAGGUCCAGAGGUGUUUGACGGGCAGGUGAUGCACUCCAUGGACUACGCCAAGAUGGGCUCGAGCAAGGCCAAGGAGACGAUAAGGGGCAAGCGUGUCACCGUCGUUGGCUACCUGAAGUCGGCGCUCGACAUCGCCGCCGAAUGCGCGCAAGUGAAUGGCACCGCUCACCCUUGCACAAUGGUGGUCCGGACCAAGCACUGGGUCUUGCCGGACUACUUCGCCUGGGGCUUCCACAUCUCAAGGCUCUACCUCAACCGCUUUUCUGAACUCCUCAUCCACAAGCCUGGCGAAGGCCUUCUCCUGUCCGCCUUGGCCACCCUUCUGUCUCCCUUGAGGUGGGCUUUCUCCAAGUUCGCCGAGAGCUACUACUCCAUCCCGAUGAGGAAGCACGACAUGGUGCCCGACCACAGCCUGUUCCAGGCGCUGGCCGCCGCCACCAUCGCCAUCACGCCCAAGGACCACUACAAGCGGCUGGACGAAGGGAGCAUAGUGCUGAAGAAGUCCAAGACGUUCAGCUUCUGCAAGGACGGCGUGGUGGUCGUGGAGGGCGAGCCGUCGUCGUCGGCGUCGGCGCCGGCGGCGGCGGCGGUGGUGAAGAGCGACGUCGUCAUCUUCGCCACCGGGUUCAAGGGGGACGACAAGAUCAGGGACAUGUUCACGUCGGAGUACUUCCGAGGCGUCGCAGUUGGGUCGGCGUCCACCACCGUGCCUCUCUACAGGGAGUGCAUACACCCUAGGAUCCCUCAGCUGGCCGUGCUCGGGUACUCCGAGAGCAUCUCCAACAUGUACACGUCGGACGUCCGCGCCAAGUGGCUGGCGCGCUUCCUGGACGGCGGCUUCAGGCUGCCGAGCGUCGCGGCGAUGCACCAGGACGUCCUCGCGUGGGAGAAGUGCAUCAAGAGGUACUCGGGAAGGUACUUCCGCCGCUCCAGCAUCCUGCUGCUCCACACCUGGUACAACGACCAGCUCUGCCGCGACAUGGGGCACAAUCCCAGGAGGAACAAGGGGUUCUUCUCGGAACUGUUUGACGUCUAUGGCCCCGGCGAUUAUGCUGGCCUCACCUCCUGCGCUAGCUCUAAGGAACACUAGACCUUUGUUGCGCGGUACGUGUUACGAUUCAUGCUCUUUUCCUGCUGCUACGAGGAGUGAGUGAGUGUUCAUGCAUGUUCAGCGAAUGUGUGAUGCGUGUGUACUGUCACAUGUGUGAUCUAUCACCAUCUUAAUUUACACUUUGUCUACAUGAUGUAAAGCUUUCGUGCCGUAUAAUCAAUAAAUUUCGUGUCAUAUUCA